AUUGAACGCUGGCGGCAGGCUUAACACAUGCAAGUCGAGCGGAGUGAUGGUGCUUGCACUAUCACUUAGCGGCGGACGGGUGAGUAAUGCUUAGGAAUCUGCCUAUUAGUGGGGGACAACAUCUCGAAAGGGAUGCUAAUACCGCAUACGUCCUACGGGAGAAAGCAGGGGAUCACUUGUGACCUUGCGCUAAUAGAUGAGCCUAAGUCGGAUUAGCUAGUUGGUGGGGUAAAGGCCUACCAAGGCGACGAUCUGUAGCGGGUCUGAGAGGAUGAUCCGCCAAACUGGGACUGGGACACGGCCCAGACUCCUACGGGAGGCAGCAGUGUGGAAUAUUGGACAAUGGGGGGAACCCUGAUCCAGCCAUGCCGCGUGUGUGAAGAAGGCCUUAUGGUUGUAAAGCACUUUAAGCGAGGAGGAGGCUCUUUUGGUUAAUACCCAAGAUGAGUGGACGUUACUCGCAGAAUAAGCACCGGCUAACUCUGUGCCAGCCGCCGCGGUAA
RNAcentral lists this ribosomal RNA (503 nucleotides) under uncultured bacterium. RNAcentral's name for it is "partial 16S ribosomal RNA". It matches the Rfam family "Bacterial small subunit ribosomal RNA", at positions 30 to 523 of the family's 1533-position model. The record is from RNAcentral.